GUGCUCACUUCGGCAGCACACAUACUAAAAUUGGAACACGACAGAGAUUAGCAUGGCCCCUACAUAAGGAUGACAUGCAAAUUUUUACAACAGAACAACAGAUGA
Molecule: small nuclear RNA, 105 nt
Organism: Dipodomys spectabilis (banner-tailed kangaroo rat)
Lineage: Eukaryota; Metazoa; Chordata; Mammalia; Rodentia; Heteromyidae
Source: RefSeq, a predicted model, not a curated record